This 453-nucleotide ribosomal RNA is filed under the name uncultured bacterium. RNAcentral's name for it is "bacterial SSU rRNA". It matches the Rfam family "Bacterial small subunit ribosomal RNA", at positions 29 to 534 of the family's 1533-position model. The record is from RNAcentral.
AACGAACGCUGGCGGCAUGCCUAACACAUGCAAGUCGAACGAGACCUUCGGGUCUAGUGGCGCACGGGUGCGUAACGCGUGGGAACCUGCCUUAGGUUCGGAAUAACUCAGAGAAAUUUGAGCUAAUACCGGAUAAUGUCUUCGGACCAAAGAUUUAUCGCCUUUAGAUGGGCCCGCGUUGGAUUAGCUAGUUGGUGGGGUAAAGCCUACCAAGGCGACGAUCCAUAGCUGGUCUGAGAGGAUGAUCAGCCACACUGGGACUGAGACACGGCCCAGACUCCUACGGAGGCAGCAGUGGGGAAUAUUGGACAAUGGGCGAAAGCCUGAUCCAGCAAUGCCGCGUGAGUGAUGAAGGCCUUAGGUGUAAAGCUNUUUACCCGAGAUGAUAAUGACAGUAUCGGGAGAAUAAGCUCCGGCUAACUCCGUGCCAGCAGCNCGGUAAUGUGACUACUG